GACGAACGCUGGCGGCGUGCCUAAUACAUGCAAGUAGAACGCUGAAGGAGGAGCUUGCUUCUCUGGAUGAGUUGCGAACGGGUGAGUAACGCGUAGGUAACCUGCCUGGUAGCGGGGGAUAACUAUUGGAAACGAUAGCUAAUACCGCAUAAGAGUAGAUGUUGCAUGACAUUUGCUUAAAAGGUGCAAUUGCAUCACUACCAGAUGGACCUGCGUUGUAUUAGCUAGUUGGUGGGGUAACGGCUCACCAAGGCGACGAUACAUAGCCGACCUGAGAGGGUGAUCGGCCACACUGGGACUGAGACACGGCCCAGACUCCUACGGGAGGCAGCAGUAGGGAAUCUUCGGCAAUGGACGGAAGUCUGACCGAGCAACGCCGCGUGAGUGAAGAAGGUUGUCGGAUCGUAAAGCUCUGUUGUAAGAGAAGAACGAGUGUGAGAGUGGAAAGUUCACACUGUGACGGUAGCUGACCAGAAAGGGACGGCUAACUACGUG
This 495-nucleotide ribosomal RNA is filed under the name uncultured bacterium. Its description in RNAcentral is "partial 16S ribosomal RNA". It matches the Rfam family "Bacterial small subunit ribosomal RNA", at positions 28 to 507 of the family's 1533-position model. The record is from RNAcentral.